Long non-coding RNA from Nomascus leucogenys (northern white-cheeked gibbon), 1521 nucleotides. RefSeq lists it as uncharacterized. The record is from RefSeq and is a predicted model, not a curated record. The transcript has 3 exons. NCBI's taxonomy places the organism in Eukaryota, Metazoa, Chordata, Mammalia, Primates, Hylobatidae.
GGGAAAAGAGACAUAAUUUAGCUGUGUUGCUAGCAUGGUUCCAUUUUUAAAGGAGGGGAGGGGGCCAGUCUAGAGCUCUAACUGUUUUUAGUUGCAUAUGGAAAUAUCUAAAAAAUAUUGAGCAUUUUUACUAAGCGCAUUGAGGCCUCUCCAGUGUCUUCCUGGCUGUGGCUGCUUUGUCAUUCUCUCUGACUAGCUAGCCAUCUACCUUGCUCAGGCCUGGAAUAAAAGAAGAACAAGAAGAAGAAAGAAAUGAAAUGAAAAACAGAAAGGAAAAGGAGAAGAAACGUUUGAAAAAGGGUCAUCUUCCCAUCUGCCUCCCCUCCUUUUCCUUUCAUUUUUGGAGGCGGCACAGGAAAGCCCCACUUCCAGUCUGAUGAGGAAAGCAACAAUCUAUCAGGUACAGAACCAGGGUCUGUCUGCGAAGAUGGAGGGGAAUUAUGCUUCGGAUUCCUCUGAAAUAUUGGCCAAAGGCUUCAAAGAAUCCGCAGCGGGAGAUGCGGGGGGAAUGUCUCGCCCCAGCCCGCACCCAGCCCUUCCCACUUCGCGUCUACCAAAUGACAGCCUGGUGCUCGCUCUUGGUGAUUUGGCCUUGACUUCAGCCAAGCAGCUGAUGCAGACGAAGGCUCCGUUUGCAGGACUGGCAAAGUGCACGCUAAAGAAAUAAGGAAGAAAUUUUUCAAAAAGCAGCUCUGGGGAGGUUUCAUACUGCCCCCCCCUUUUUUUUUUUUAAUUUUUAAGUGAAUAUUUUCCAAAUUUGAUCAGUUCCAGCCCCUCCCUCCACUCCCACCCAACUGCCCUUUUUUCUCUCGUCAAAGCAUAAGCUACAGAGUUACAGUCUCGAGAUUUGGUGUAUCGCUUCCUGCCCCCGCCUCCCCUCCCCGCCCCCGUUCUCCGUCCUCUAUUGAAACACCUCGCCCAGCCUAGCGCACUGAGAGCUCUCAUUUCCCCCCCUUGCUCGGGAUGGUGCCACAGGAGGCUGUGCGGGCCCCGCUCCGCUUCGAAUGGAUACAGUUAAGCUAAUGAUCUCGAGAGGAUAUCGUCCUGGAUAAGGGUGGAGCCUACGCCCAAAAACAAGAUUACCUGAAAGAGAAAAGAAAGGGGGAAAACACACAGAGACACAGUCAGGGAGGCCACAUGAAGAUGGAGGCAGAGACAGGAGUGAUGAGCCUGCAAGCCAAGGAAUGCCAAGGGCUGCCAGCAGCCACGAGAAGCUGAGAGACACAGAGAACGAGUCCUCUGCCAGAGCCUCCAGAAGGAACUAACCUUGUCAAUACCUUGAUUUCGGACUUCUGGACUCCAGAACUAUAACCAUCCUUCCUCCACCUCACAAAAACUCACAAGCUGCAGCCCUUCUGAUGUCCACUCCCACACAAACCAGCUUCAGGCCUUUUUCAAGGUAAAGUGCCAUAUUUAUUGUAGCAUUUAUGAACUUCCUAAUCGCCUAACAUGUGUAAAACUGCACUAGUGUUUUUAUUAGGCUCCUACCUAUUUUUAUGUGUCACUGAUGAAGUGUUUGAA